UUAACGUUUACCGAGCCAGGAUGAGGAGGUGAAGCUAUGUCAAGCCGGGUGUAGAUAGUUGGGAUAAGUGCAUGUCCACGGCUUUCUUAAAUAGACCACGGUAUCGAUCACAGAUUUACUGAUGCAGAGAUAGAGAAGACGCGUUCAGCAUAUUUUUCAACUAAUUAUGGAAAGUUAUGAGGAGGUAAAGCAUAUAAUAUGCAGAAAAGGAAAUACGACUGCUGUUAUUAAACAGAGAGAAAAAGCCUGGCAGACAAUAGCGGACCGACUGAAUGCACAGCUCCAGACUUCACCCCAGCUGAGGAAAUGGCCCUUGAUUUAAACCAAGGAAGGCCUGUGAUGGAAGGGAUUCAGGGUGGGACAGCUACAGGCUCUGUUCCACCUGCAGAUACUGCCCUCUUCAUACAAGUGUCCGGCGACACAGUCACUCUCGUGCCACCAGACGAUGAUCCAGUGAGUAUUUAUUAAAAGCAUAUGGCUUGGCACAUCCUGUCAAUACAAAUUCUAUUUAAUAUGGCAGGGGGAAGGGGCUUCUGCAGCAUGGGAAGGGGCUGCUGCAGCUGAUGAUGAGACUGUGUCACUGGACUCCAGAAGGCCUGAGGUAUCAUGUCAGUCUUAUGGAAAUGCAUAUGUUGCCCAUAAUGGAUGAGAAGUCAGUGAUAUAACACUCAGAAAUGUAUGUAACAGGAUCCAGACACAGUACAGUCUGACAGCCAGCCUGGCAACAUAGUAAGUAUGGGCUAAUGGAAAUCUAAAUUAUGCACAAUUCCUGCUAUGCUAAUCAAUGGGUGGUUUACAGAAUUCACAAACUGUAAGAUGUCUGUAUACACAACAUCUGAAAAAGCAAAUAGAGCUGGCAGAUGCACAGAUUGCUGUAAGCAAAAGGACUCCCCAGGAUCUGGACCUUGGUAUAGAAAUCAAGAAGAAAACAC
Molecule: long non-coding RNA, 932 nt
Organism: Esox lucius (northern pike)
Lineage: Eukaryota; Metazoa; Chordata; Actinopteri; Esociformes; Esocidae
Exons: 3
Source: RefSeq, a predicted model, not a curated record